UCGAACGGUAACGCGGGGGCAACCCUGGCGACGAGUGGCGAACGGGUGAGUAAUACAUCGGAACGUACCCAGUAGUGGGGGAUAGCUCGGCGAAAGCCGGAUUAAUACCGCAUAUGCCUACGGGUGAAAGCGGGGGACCGCAAGGCCUCGCGCUAUUGGAGCGGCCGAUGUCGGAUUAGCUUGUUGGUGGGGUAAAAGCCUACCAAGGCGACGAUCCGUAGCUGGUCUGAGAGGACGACCAGCCACACUGGGACUGAGACACGGCCCAGACUCCUACGGGAGGCAGCAGUGGGGAAUUUUGGACAAUGGGCGAAAGCCUGAUCCAGCAAUGCCGCGUGUGUGAAGAAGGCCUUCGGGUUGUAAAGCACUUUUGGCGGGAACGAAACAGCGCUUGCUAAUACCGGGCGCGAAUGACGGUACCCGCAGAAUAAGCACCGGCUAACUACGUGCCAGCAGCCGCGGUAAUACGUAGGGUGCGAGCGUUAAUCGGAAUUACUGGGCGUAAAGCGUGCGCAGGCGGCUUUGUAAGACAGAUGUGAAAGCCCCGGGCUUAACCUGGGAAGUGCAUUUGUGACUGCAAGGCUAGAGUGCGUCAGAGGGAGGUGGAAUUCCGCGUGUAGCAGUGAAAUGCGUAGAGAUGCGGAGGAACACCGAU
This 655-nucleotide ribosomal RNA is filed under the name uncultured bacterium. RNAcentral's name for it is "bacterial SSU rRNA". It matches the Rfam family "Bacterial small subunit ribosomal RNA", at positions 62 to 713 of the family's 1533-position model. The record is from RNAcentral.